ACUGUGGAGAGCUAUACAAACUGUAGUAGACAGCUUUUGAACAAAAGCGUCGAGAGCGGGGUUCUUUGAAGCAGUAA
RNAcentral lists this small RNA (77 nucleotides) under Andreesenia angusta. Its description in RNAcentral is "Eubacterium angustum RAGATH-18 RNA". It matches the Rfam family "RAGATH-18 RNA". From Rfam's summary of the family: Actinobacteria, Firmicutes, Fusobacteria, Thermotogae (1 example). Nearby to self-cleaving ribozyme genes Lineage: Bacteria; Bacillati; Bacillota; Tissierellia; Tissierellales; Gottschalkiaceae. The record is from Rfam by way of RNAcentral.